GGGGUUGUGGCUCAGUGAUAGAGCGCUCACCUAGCACAUGUGAGGCCCUGGAUUCGAUCCUCAGCACCACA
This 71-nucleotide transfer RNA is filed under the name Marmota monax (woodchuck). Its description in RNAcentral is "tRNA.Ala". The record is from RNAcentral. Lineage: Eukaryota; Metazoa; Chordata; Mammalia; Rodentia; Sciuridae.